UGGUUAGGAAUUUGACUCCUGUCAUUCAAACAUAGUUCUAUUCCUACAUAAGAUUCCAGUCAUCCAAACAUAGUCAAAAUUCCGGUCAACCAUGCAUGAGAUGACUGUGGAGGGAAUAGGUCCAUGAUCACCCAAUAAUUUCCCCAAAUCUUAGGACUGGAUAUCUGCUCACCAGUUGCACCCUGCAGUCGCCGUCUACCAUCCAAAACCAAAAGUCCAAGUAUUGCUAGAAAUUGGAUCCGAGUCCUAGCCUGUUUUUGGCCUAUAAAAGGUGAACCACCCCCGCCCCUUAAUUUGUACCAUUCAAAUUGGUAGCACUUCUGUUUUCCUUGGGGGUUAAAAAAAAUGGGUCUAAGAAAGCUUUUUGUUGGUGUGCAAGUCCUUUUGAUCAUCUCCAUCAUUCUCUUGGCUUUCGAGGUGGCUGCCAGGGAACUUCUCCAACAAUAUCCGAGCCCUCUAAAUCCUUAUGAUCAUAAGAUGGAGAGGGAGCUCGCUGGUUCGGGCACUUUGGAUAAACCAUGGCCCACCAAUGUUUAAAUUCAGUGAUUUUAUCUCACGAAUAGAAGACGAAGAGGUUGGCGUGCUUGCUGUAGAAGAUGACCUGAUUUUCGAAUUUGUAUCUCUUUACUGCAAACUAUUCCUUUUCUUUUUUGAAAUUACUCUCCUAUAUUGAUUAAAAAGUAUGAAUAACGUUGUUUGUA
This is a long non-coding RNA of Rhododendron vialii, 701 nucleotides long. RefSeq lists it as uncharacterized. The transcript is spliced from 2 exons. Lineage: Eukaryota; Viridiplantae; Streptophyta; Magnoliopsida; Ericales; Ericaceae. The record is from RefSeq and is a predicted model, not a curated record.